RNAcentral lists this ribosomal RNA (776 nucleotides) under uncultured Neocallimastigales. RNAcentral describes it as "partial large subunit ribosomal RNA". It matches the Rfam family "Eukaryotic large subunit ribosomal RNA", at positions 20 to 643 of the family's 3401-position model. Lineage: Eukaryota; Fungi; Neocallimastigomycota; Neocallimastigomycetes; Neocallimastigales. The record is from RNAcentral.
ACUAGAGUAGCACUCGCAUAUCAAUAAGCGGAGGAAAAGAAACUAACAAGGAUUCCCUUAGUAACGGCGAGUGAAGCGGGAAGAGCUCAAAUUUGAAAUCUUCAAGGUUCUACCUUGACGAAUUGUAGUUUAUAGAAGUGUUUUCUGUUAGAUGAGGUGGUAAAAGUUCUUUGGAAUAGGACAUCAUAGAGGGUGAGAAUCCCGUAUUUGACCGUUACUUUCCAGCUGUGUGACACACUUUCAAAGAGUCGGAUUGUUUGGGAAUGCAGUCCAAAAUGGGUGGUAAAUUACAUCUAAAGCUAAAUAUUGGCGAGGAGACCGAUAGCGAACAAGUACCGUGAGGGAAAGAUGAAAAGAACUCUGAAAAGAGAGUUAAACAGUACGUGAAAUUGUCAAAAGGGAAGCGUUUGACACCAGUGUUGUUUUUCCGAAAAUCAAUUACGAAUGUUUUGUUUUUGAGAGUUAUGACUUCAUCGGCUUGCUUCUCUCUUUACGAAACUUUCUUAAUGCACUUUUCGGUUAACAAGUCAACAUCAAUUUCUUUUGUUGUAAAAGGGUAUGAGGAAGGUGGCUUUCUUUUCGGAGAAAGUGUUUAUAGCCUUGUACCUCUGCAAUCGGAGAGAUUGAGGUCUGCAGCGUAGAUCCUUCGGGGUUAGAUACAUUUGUGCUAAGUUAUAGCUCUUCAUAGACAACUUGUUGACUAUGUUUAGUCUUGUAGCUUACUCGCUUACUGCUAUUUUACCUACGCUUAGGAUGUUGAAGAUGUAGCACAUCAU